UACGGGGUGCAGCAGGCGCGAAAACUUUACAAUGCGGGAAACCGUGAUAAGGGGACACCGAGUGCCAGCAUCAUAUGCUGGCUGUCCGGGUGUGUAAAAUACACCCGUUAGCAAGGGCCGGGCAAGACCGGUGCCAGCCGCCGCGGUAACACCGGCGGCCCGAGUGGUGAUCGUGAUUAUUGGGUCUAAAGGGUCCGUAGCCGGUUUGGUCAGUCCUCCGGGAAAUCUGAUGGCUCAACCAUUAGGCUUUCGGGGGAUACUGCCAGGCUUGGAACCGGGAGAGGUAAGAGGUACUACAGGGGUAGGAGUGAAAUCUUGUAAUCCCUGUGGGACCACCUGUGGCGAAGGCGUCUUACCAGAACGGGUUCGACGGUGAGGGACGAAAGCUGGGGGCACGAACCGGAUUAGAUACCCGGGUAGUCCCAGCCGUAAACGAUGCUCGCUAGGUGUCAGGCAUGGCGCGACCGUGUCUGGUGCCGCAGGGAAGCCGUGAAGCGAGCCACCUGGGAAGUACGGCCGCAAGGCUGAAACUUAAAGGAAUUGGCGGGGGAGCACAACAACGGGUGGAGCCUGCGGUUUAAUUGGACUCAACGCCGGACAACUCACCGGGGACGACAGCAAAAUGUAGGCCAGGCUGAAGACCUUGCCUGAAUCGCUGAGAGGAGGUGC
Molecule: ribosomal RNA, 669 nt
Filed under: uncultured archaeon
Lineage: Archaea
Description: bacterial SSU rRNA
Rfam family: Archaeal small subunit ribosomal RNA
Source: RNAcentral